This 583-nucleotide ribosomal RNA is filed under the name Priestia aryabhattai. Its description in RNAcentral is "bacterial SSU rRNA". It matches the Rfam family "Bacterial small subunit ribosomal RNA", at positions 95 to 664 of the family's 1533-position model. The record is from RNAcentral. Lineage: Bacteria; Bacillati; Bacillota; Bacilli; Caryophanales; Bacillaceae.
GCGGCGGACGGGUGAGUAACACGUGGGCAACCUGCCUGUAAGACUGGGAUAACUUCGGGAAACCGAAGCUAAUACCGGAUAGGAUCUUCUCCUUCAUGGGAGAUGAUUGAAAGAUGGUUUCGGCUAUCACUUACAGAUGGGCCCGCGGUGCAUUAGCUAGUUGGUGAGGUAACGGCUCACCAAGGCAACGAUGCAUAGCCGACCUGAGAGGGUGAUCGGCCACACUGGGACUGAGACACGGCCCAGACUCCUACGGGAGGCAGCAGUAGGGAAUCUUCCGCAAUGGACGAAAGUCUGACGGAGCAACGCCGCGUGAGUGAUGAAGGCUUUCGGGUCGUAAAACUCUGUUGUUAGGGAAGAACAAGUACGAGAGUAACUGCUCGUACCUUGACGGUACCUAACCAGAAAGCCACGGCUAACUACGUGCCAGCAGCCGCGGUAAUACGUAGGUGGCAAGCGUUAUCCGGAAUUAUUGGGCGUAAAGCGCGCGCAGGCGGUUUCUUAAGUCUGAUGUGAAAGCCCACGGCUCACCCGUGGAGGGUCAUUGGAAACUGGGGAACUUGAGUGCAGAAGAGAAAAGCGG